Pecten maximus is the source of this 1654-nucleotide long non-coding RNA. RefSeq lists it as uncharacterized. The record is from RefSeq and is a predicted model, not a curated record. The transcript is spliced from 2 exons. NCBI's taxonomy places the organism in Eukaryota, Metazoa, Mollusca, Bivalvia, Pectinida, Pectinidae.
GGUCUGUUCAGGGACGUAUAUCUGUAUAUGUCUUAGGUCUGUUCAGGGACGUAUAUCUAUAUAUGUCUUAUGUCUGUUCAGGGACGUACAUCUAUAUAUGUCUUAUGUCUGUUCAGGGACGUAUAUCUAUAUAUGUCUUAGGUCUGUUCAGGGACGUAUAUCUGUAUAUGUCUUAGGUCUGUUCAGGGACGUAUAUCUAUAUAUGUCUUAUGUCUGUUCAGGGACGUAUAUCCAUACAGUUCUAGGUCUGUUCAGGGACGUAUAUCCAUAUAUGUUCUAGGUCGUUUGACCUCUGUGUGAUCUUGAGAGGUCUCUUUUCUUGUUCGGUCACAGGUAAAACAUUCACCUGUAGACGUAUAUACCUGAUGGUGACAGGUCAAUCAAAUGUCACGAUAAUAGAUCAUGAUGGUGACACAGAUAAAUCAGUUAAUUUAUAAUGAUGAUGCAGUGUGGUAAAAAACGGAGAUGGAUUAUAAUAAUAUGAUAAUUUAUAGGCUUAUGUUUCUCACAAUUAUUUUAUACGGAGUUCAGCCUUAUUAUAGACAGUCUCGUAACAAGUUAGAUUAUCACUCCACAAUGAUCAGUGUGGCCUUUACGAGUUUAUGUAAGUAUGACGAAAAGGAAGUAUUUUUGGUGAAAAGGUCGUUUUAGUUGCAAUCUUUCAAUCUUUGACAGAAAGUCAAUUGUCAUUAGUAAAAUAUAUAUAGCGUUAUUAAAUCUGUUAGAUUAUAGAUUGCUUCAGAAACCAUCUUUAUGACAGCAAGUCAUUAAUUAUCGUUAAAUAGUUACAAUAAAAUAAGGUAAUGUAAACACUGCAUCAGAUACAGUAUUUCUGACAAAUUUAUGUAAAGUUAAAAUAUAUAUAUCUAAAUCACAAUAUUUCUGACAAAUGUCUGUUAAGUUAAAAUAUAUAUAUAUCUAAAUCAAAAUCACAUUUUGUUUCAGUUAUUGUACAUGUGCAAUAUACCAUUAGAUAUCGUUUGACUAUAUAUGUAACACUUGGAAGGGGGCAGUAUGAGAAUUAUGAUAUCUUGGUAGUUACAGUCUUUGUGUAUGAAGAAUUGUAUUUUUAAUAGAAUGCAUAUGAAGAUGCCACUGCAUGCAUGCCAUGAUUUCUAUGAAAUAGAAAAAAAUAUCAUGUAUAUAUUUAUUCAAUGCCUCCGAUAGGGAUCGAAACGGUGACCCAUAGCUUAUUACGAGUCUGGCUGAUUAAGCAUCGUCGGAAACUCACGAGAUUUUGCUCUGUCGUUUGUUUCCUGGGUAACAACAGUCUCGUGGGUUUCCGAUGGUGCUGAUUAAAGUAAAGGGAAAUUUCCCCGGACCGGGUCGGUUACCAGGAUAACAUAAAAUGAUGUGAUAUACAAAAUAUUGGCGAAAGAGAAACUUCAUGGUGCUUUAAAGUUCGUACUGUUACGAUUUCUAUACACAUUGUUUCAUUAUCAAAUGUAUUUAGUGCUCAGAAUCAAAUAGCAUUAAUUAAAAUCUUAGAAAAAAUUUGACUUGUUAACACUUAUUGAUCUUGAUUUUAUGAACUGAGAUGCCACGCUCAAUAUUAUGUUAAUAAUAUUUGUAUGCUAAACAAAAUCUUAUCAGUGAUGUUUGGAAGAUUUACUAUGUAAAAAAUCAAAUUAUAGAUAAAAAUAUUUACACAAUG